CCCUUAGAUGUUCUGGGCUGCACACGUGCUACACUGGCAGGUUCAGCGAGCUUCAUGUCCUGAUCUGAAAGGAAUGGGAAAUCUUUUCAAAACCUGCCGUGCUUGGGAUAGAUGUUUGCAAUUAUUCAUCUUCAACGAGGAUUGCCUUGUAAGCGCACGUCAUCAGCGUGCAUUGAAUACGACCCUGUAUUCUGUACACACCGCCCGUCGCUCCUACCGAUUGAAGUUUUCGGUGAGUUGACAGGAGGAUUUUUUUGAAACUGACUCGCCAGUGGAUUUUAGAUCCAAAUGCCAACGAAUCGAUGGCUUUAGAGGAAGGAGAAGUCGUAACA
Molecule: ribosomal RNA, 332 nt
Filed under: uncultured eukaryote
Lineage: Eukaryota
Description: partial 18S ribosomal RNA
Rfam family: Eukaryotic small subunit ribosomal RNA
Source: RNAcentral